Long non-coding RNA from Panicum virgatum (switchgrass), 367 nucleotides. RefSeq lists it as uncharacterized. The record is from RefSeq and is a predicted model, not a curated record. The transcript has 2 exons. NCBI's taxonomy places the organism in Eukaryota, Viridiplantae, Streptophyta, Magnoliopsida, Poales, Poaceae.
GAGCCGUAGCUCGGGUGGCGAGACCUCCGGGUGUGGAGGCCGCCGGUCACGGUUCGAGCGCGCUCGAACUCGUGAUUUUCCCACCGGAACAGUAGUUCCCUGUUGUAUAUUCUCCGCUUGGAUGGAUUCCAAGCGUUUGCCUCUCACGCGUGGUGCCACAAAGGGACUGCAACGCGCCCGUUGCCUACGGAGCCUUGGGGGUUUCCGGUGAUUCCCAGAAGGACGCGGUCUUCAUAUCUGUGUGUAGUUGUAGGUCUGCUUGUACACGUGUGGUGUGAGUGUGGUGUGCGUGUGUAGGGUGGUGCGUGCGUGCGUGUAUGAACAGAUGCUACAGCUGUACCCAGAUGAGAGACGUUCAAAAAAAACU